Syngnathus typhle (broad-nosed pipefish) is the source of this 400-nucleotide long non-coding RNA. RefSeq lists it as uncharacterized. The record is from RefSeq and is a predicted model, not a curated record. NCBI's taxonomy places the organism in Eukaryota, Metazoa, Chordata, Actinopteri, Syngnathiformes, Syngnathidae. The transcript has 3 exons.
CCGAAGGACAGCGAGGGUUUGAGCUCGGGCGGAUGCAAUGUGCCUCGUCCUAAAAUCGCCCAGCAGGUCACUGUGGAUGAGCAGCAGGUCACUGUGGAUGAGCAGCAGGUCACUCUGGAUGAGGUGGACUCGUACGGCAAAUAUGUCAGACUCCGCAAUACAGUUGAUGAGGAUCAGAAUUUGGGGAACUGGCAGGUGAAGCUCCAGAUUGGAUCUUCUGCUCCCAUCGUAUUCAAGUUUGCCGCAGAAUUCAUCCUGAAGGCCCACGAGAGUGUCACGAUCUGGGCGGCUGACGCUGGCCGAAACCACAAUCCUCCCUCUGAUCUAGUCUGGGAGACACAGUCCAACUGGGGACCCGUAGGCCAGGUCCACUUUACCUUGAUCAACGCCAACGGAGAGG